Molecule: ribosomal RNA, 347 nt
Filed under: uncultured bacterium
Lineage: Bacteria
Description: bacterial SSU rRNA
Rfam family: Bacterial small subunit ribosomal RNA
Source: RNAcentral
AGAGUUUGAUCAUGGCUCAGGAUGAACGCUAGCUACAGGCUUAACACAUGCAAGCCGAGGGGCAGCAUGUUGGUUGCUUGCAACCAACGAUGGCGACCGGCGCACGGGUGAGUAACGCGUAUCCAACCUACCCUUGUCCAUCGGAUAACCCGUCGAAAGGCGGCCUAACACGAUAUGCGGUUCACAGCAGGCAUCUAACGUGAACGAAAUGUGAAGGAGAAGGAUGGGGAUGCGUCUGAUUAGCUUGUUGGCGGGGUAACGGCCACCAAGGCUACGAUCAGUAGGGUUCUGAGAGGAAGGUCCCCCANAUUGGAACUGAGACACGGUCCAAACUCCUACGGGAGGCA